RNAcentral lists this ribosomal RNA (254 nucleotides) under uncultured bacterium. RNAcentral's name for it is "partial 16S ribosomal RNA". It matches the Rfam family "Bacterial small subunit ribosomal RNA", at positions 524 to 776 of the family's 1533-position model. The record is from RNAcentral.
UACGUAGGGUGCGAGCGUUGUCCGGAAUUAUUGGGCGUAAAGAGCUCGUAGGCGGUGUGUCACGUUGGCCGUGAAAACCUGCAGCUUAACUGUGGGCGUGCGGUCGAUACGGGCAUCACUGGAGUUCGGCAGGGGAGACUGGAAUUCCUGGUGUAGCGGUGAAAUGCGCAGAUAUCAGGAGGAACACCGGUGGCGAAGGCGGGUCUCUGGGCCGAUACUGACGCUGAGGAGCGAAAGCGUGGGGAGCAAACAGG